This 465-nucleotide ribosomal RNA is filed under the name uncultured bacterium. RNAcentral describes it as "partial 16S ribosomal RNA". It matches the Rfam family "Bacterial small subunit ribosomal RNA", at positions 338 to 795 of the family's 1533-position model. The record is from RNAcentral.
CCUACGGGUGGCAGCAGUGGGGAAUAUUGCGCAAUGGGCGAAAGCCUGACGCAGCGACGCCGCGUGAGGGAUGAAGGUCUUCGGAUCGUACACCUCUGUCAGCAGGGACGAACGGUCACUGUGCUAAUCAGCAGUGAAUUGCCGGUACCUGCAACGGAAGCCCCGGCUAACUCAGUGCCAGCAGCCGCGGUAAUCCGGAGGGUGCGAGCGUUAAUCGGAAUUACUGGGCGUAAAGCGCUCGUAGGCGGUAUGUCAAUUCAAGGGUGAAAUCCCCGCGCUCAACGUGGGAACUGCCUUUGAAACUGGCAAACUGGAGGUUGUGAGAGGAUAGUGGAAUUCCAGGUGUAGGAGUGAAAUCCGUAGAUAUCUGGAGGAACAUCAGUGGCGAAGGCGACUAUCUGGCACAUAACUGACGCUGAGGAGCGAAAGCGUGGGUAGCAAACAGGAUUAGAUACCCCUGUAGUC